Molecule: ribosomal RNA, 257 nt
Filed under: uncultured bacterium
Lineage: Bacteria
Description: partial 16S ribosomal RNA
Rfam family: Bacterial small subunit ribosomal RNA
Source: RNAcentral
GCAAGUCGAGCGGUAACAGGGAUUUACUUCGGUAUAUCUGCUGACGAGUGGCGCACGGGUGAGUAACGCGUACGCAAUCUACCUUCAAGAGAGGGAUAGCCCCGGGAAACUGGGAUUAAUACCUCAUGUGAUUAGGAUAUGGCAUCGUAUUCUAAUUAAAGUUACAGCGCUUGAAGAUGAGCGUGCGUUCUAUUAGUUAGUUGGUGAGGUAACGGCUUACCAAGACGAUGAUAGAUAGGGGGCGUGAGAGCGUGACC